RNAcentral lists this ribosomal RNA (216 nucleotides) under Glomeromycotina sp. RNAcentral's name for it is "partial small subunit ribosomal RNA". The stretch from base 40 to 216 matches the Rfam family "Eukaryotic small subunit ribosomal RNA", at positions 686 to 864 of the family's 1831-position model. The record is from RNAcentral. Lineage: Eukaryota; Fungi; Glomeromycota.
GGGUCAGUAGGUUGGUCGUGCCACCGGUACGUACUGGUCUCACUGAUUCCUCCUUCCUGAAGAACCGUAAUGCCAUUAAUUUGGUGUUGCGGGGAAACAGGACUGAUACUUUGAAAACAUUAGAGUGUUUAAAGCAAGCUAACGCUUGAAUACAUUAGCAUGGAAUAAUGAACUAGGACGAUCGAUCCUAUUUUGUUGGUUUCUAGGAUUGACGUA